This 274-nucleotide ribosomal RNA is filed under the name uncultured bacterium. RNAcentral describes it as "partial 16S ribosomal RNA". It matches the Rfam family "Bacterial small subunit ribosomal RNA", at positions 523 to 796 of the family's 1533-position model. The record is from RNAcentral.
AUACGGAGGGUGCAAGCGUUACUCGGAAUCACUGGGCGUAAAGCGCGCGCAGGCGGUCUUUUAAGUUGGAUGUGAAAUCCUAUAGCUUAACUAUAGAACUGCAUCCAAAACUAUUAGACUAGAGUCUGGGAGAGGUAAGUGGAAUUAGUUGUGUAGGGGUAAAAUCCGUAGAGAUAACUAGGAAUACCAAAAGCGAAGGCAACUUACUGGAACAGUACUGACGCUGAGGCGCGAAAGCGUGGGGAGCAAACAGGAUUAGAUACCCCGGUAGUCC